GGGAGGGCUCGGCCGCCGCCGCCGCGCCGGGUCGUGCUUAAUAUUCAAUGAGCUCGCUCGCGCCUCCCCCUCCUCUUCUGGCAGAAAUUCCACCGAGUCCGUUACUGGGCUCAGACUUUUAAGUUAUUUACUGCCCACCCCCGACUCCCCUGGGCUAGUAACCAGUGUCUUUGGGGCUAUCCUCGCCCCCGACUCCCGCCUGAAAAUGACAUUUCGCCGGCGUCUCCGGAGGGGGCCGAAUUUCACUUUGUAACUUUCUGCGGAACCCGAGCCCGGGUGGCAGCUCGGGUGGUGGUAUCGUAUGCAAAUACGCAUGCUGACGUUACAGAUCAUGUGGGUUUUGGCGUAGAUUCCCCACUGAUCGAGGCAUUUUUUCCCCUUUUUUUUUACCCCCUUCUUUUUUUUUUUUUCUUUGAAAAAUUUUGGCCACCCAUCCCCGCGUGGGGCUGCUUCUGUCGGUGUGUCUGGCAGGCCGGCUUUCCCCCCUCUUUCCCACGGAGCCCGAGCCGGGCGCCCGCUGGGGAGUGGGGAGUGGGGUGGGGGGAGCCAGCAGAGUUCCAUUUUGGAACGCCCGAGCCGCGUCUCCGCGUUCCCAGCCCGGGUCCCCGCGUCCCCAGCCCCGGCGCAGGUUCAGUCGAGUACACUGGGCAAGAAGGUGGGCUGCAGAACCUGACAGCCUACAUCCCAAUCCUGGCUCCCCCCACUCACCAGCUGAUGACCCCAGGUGAAGAAACAGAGUCUCAACCAAGUGUCACAGCCAGGACCCAGCCCAGACCUUCCACCCCUAAAGUCACAGAGCAGAGCGUAGCUGAGUUGGAAAGACAGGUCUUGACGCACUGACUGCUCUUGGAGUCAAAUAGUAAAAAGAUUCCCAGGAUGUAAGCAGUACGGGACUGGUGAGUGGCGCUGUGUUUGGCGGUCGGGGCCUAGGUUGGGUUUCAAGGAGGGAGAGGAGAUGAAUGGGAGGGGCAGGGCUGAGAGCUGAGCUUUUGCAGCCCUGAACCUGGGUCCCCAUCCCCAUCCUCCCGGCAGCAGCACCUGGCAGGGAAUCCAGGUGUGGAUCCCUGGGAAUGAGCUGGGUGCCUGCCAGUCCCUCCCCAGAAGCACACUGGGCCUGCAGGUGGCUUGGAUGGCCGUCCUCUGUGUGCUCAGAUGCGGACAGCUCAGGCUCACCCCCCAGCGGGCACGUGCUGGCAGUUGUUUGCCUCUGGCCAGGGUUAAAACAGAGAGGGAGCUGUGUGACUCACACCAGUUUGUAAACUGAAGCACUGAGAAGUGAUGACUAAGGGGAGGCGAGAAUGCUGCCUUUGCACCUUCGGGGGGCUGUCACUGGCAAGAGGAAGGUGGGCAG
This 1351-nucleotide long non-coding RNA is filed under the name Dasypus novemcinctus (nine-banded armadillo). Its description in RNAcentral is "lncRNA (ENSDNOG00000050437.1)". Lineage: Eukaryota; Metazoa; Chordata; Mammalia; Cingulata; Dasypodidae. The record is from RNAcentral.